AAUCAACGCUGGCGGCGUGCCUCAGACAUGCAAGUCGAACGCGAAAGGCCCCUUCGGGGGCCGAGUAGAGUGGCGCUCGGGUGAGUAACACGUGGGUAAUUUGCCUUUGGGUGGGGAAUAACAACCGGAAACGGUUGCUAAUACCGCAUAAUGCAGCGGCUCGACAUCGAGACAGUUGUUAAAGCGGGGGAUCUUUCGAGACCUCGCGCCUAAAGAGAAGCCUGCGGCGGAUUAGCUAGUGGUGAGGUAAUGGCUCACCAAGGCUACGAUCCGUAACCGGCCUGAGAGGGCGGACGGUCACACUGACACUUAAAUACGGGUCAGACUCCUACGGGAGGCAGCAGUCGGGAAUUUUGGGCAAUGGGCGAAAGCCUGACCCAGCAACGCCGCGUGAAGGAAUGAAAAUCCCUCGGGAUGUAAACUUCGCAAAGAACGGGAAGAAUAAGCGAGAGUAAAUACCUCUCGUGAUGACGGUACCGUUUGUAAGCUCCGGCUAAC
RNAcentral lists this ribosomal RNA (498 nucleotides) under uncultured bacterium. RNAcentral's name for it is "bacterial SSU rRNA". It matches the Rfam family "Bacterial small subunit ribosomal RNA", at positions 32 to 501 of the family's 1533-position model. The record is from RNAcentral.